UAUUCCUACGGGACGCAGCAGUGGGGGAUAUUGCACAAUGGGGGGAACCCUGAUGCAGCGACGCCGCGUGGGUGAAGAAGUAUUUCGGUAUGUAAAGCCCUAUCGGCAGGGAAGAAAUUGGACGGUACCUGACUAAGAAGCCCCGGCUAACUACGUGCCAGCAGCCGCGGUAAUACGUAGGGGGCAAGCGUUAUCCGGAUUCAUUGGGUGUAAAGGGUGCGUAGACGGGCAUGCAAGCCUGGUGGGAAAGCCCGGGGCCCAACCC
This 265-nucleotide ribosomal RNA is filed under the name uncultured bacterium. RNAcentral's name for it is "partial 16S ribosomal RNA". It matches the Rfam family "Bacterial small subunit ribosomal RNA", at positions 334 to 615 of the family's 1533-position model. The record is from RNAcentral.